UAGAACCGAAUUAGCUUCCAGAAUUUAGCUAUGCUUGAUGUCUGCACAUAACACGAGGCGGUCUGGAAAAAGCUUGCCAGGGCUUUUUUGUCUUCUCUUCAUCGAUCUACCAGGAACUGCAAAUUGAAGGGAACAAUAUAAUCUGAAUAUGGAGGUCCCUGAGAGAGUACACGUAAAGUUCACCCUGGAAGCUACACAGUUGAAGCACUAGUAACAGAAUAAGCAGAACACGCUUGGCUGUCAUUUUACCAAUCUCUACUACAGUCCUAACACACAUGAAAGAGCGGUGACUGACUGGCAACUCCAUGCAGAUGAAACAGUACAGUUUGGACAAUGCAAACCUACGUGAAGUAUCAGGCGAAAAUUCCCCCAUGCUUUGCUCUUCUGGGUGAUGAAAUAAUUUCCUGAGGGAACUGAGGAAACCACCCCAUGAUGUCAAAUUGUUUAAAGGCAAAGUGGAGCACUCCAGGACCAUGCAGCAACCCCUGAUGGUCAGCGUGCCGUAGACAGUCUGCUGCUCUCCUUCAGCACAGAGCCCUGGGAGCUGCAGGCCAGGAGCUAGUGGUGGCCUUGGCAUUAAGCUCCUAAGCUGCCUGCAUGCUGGCAGAGCCCUGGCAGAUAUGAGCACAGAGCCUUCUUCCCAAAAUCAACAUGAACCCUAGCUGCAAUUGUCUUAAGGUCAAGGUCCGGACAAAGCUGACUCUAAGCAGUUAGCUACUUAACAUCCUUGUUUCACCCUUUGUAAAAUGGCAUCAUCACUGGGAAAUGCCUUGAAAUUCUUAUCUAGAAGCUGCUUUACAAAUUGGAACAUUAUUUUCAUUAGGUUACUGUGAAACUAGAAAAAAAUUUACCCUGGACUUUUUCUCAUAUGUGUUUACACCUAGAAGGCAGCCUACAUGGUCCCGUAUCUAGACAGACUCGUGGGCACAGUGUUUCUCAAGGCAUAAAUCAUUUUAGAGGCUCACUAGGUUUAUUUCAGACAGUUCCAUCUUCUCUAUUUGAAACAGGCUUUCUUAUCAGCCUAAUUGCAGCCGUUAAACCAUUUGUGGCCAGAAUUUUUUGUUUGUGUGCCAACAUUAGUGUCAGCAGGAGAAUGAUCACUGGCGGUGACGCUAACUAUCAAAUAUGUAGUUGCUCUCCAGUAACAGUAACUAAGAGCUUUAAACGGGAAACAAAACUCUAUAAAAACUGCUUAUUCUGAUUCUAAAAGGAUCAGAUAAAAUGAGGAACCUUCUCUGAACUGUUGGGAUGAUUUUGUGAUGAGCUACAUGGCUUGGGCAAUCUGAUUAUGAGCCAUCUGCAUCUCACACCUCCUUGAAGGCCAGAUUUGCUCUUUGCCACUUUUUUCUUUGGGGUUGCACCAUCUUUUGCUUUCAGGUGUCUACACUAACGAGAUUUUGAUAGCUUCUUGUACAAAGCAGUGCAAUUUAAUGCUUUUGCCUAACUAGACCUGUAUUAGUUUAUGCGAAGCAAGAGCAUGCCUUUCUGACAAAGAUCUCUCUAAUCCAUUGAGUACAUCGUGUAAAUGUUUAUUGAUUUUUUUUAUGAGCGCAAUGAUUUGGUAAUUAUCUUUAAAUCAUUUAUCUUCUGAGUGUGCAGUGUUCAAUGUAUGGUUUUAUUGAUUAAA
Molecule: long non-coding RNA, 1627 nt
Organism: Grus americana (Whooping crane)
Lineage: Eukaryota; Metazoa; Chordata; Aves; Gruiformes; Gruidae
Exons: 3
Source: RefSeq, a predicted model, not a curated record